GAUGAAGAACGCAGCGAAAUGCGAUAAGUAGUGUGAAUUGCAGAAUUCAGUGAAUCAUCGAAUGUUUGAACGCACAUUGCGCCCCUUGGUAUUCCAUGGGGCAUGCCUGUUCGAGCGUCAUUUGUACCUUCAAGCUUUGCUUGGUGUUGGGUGUUUGUCUCGCCUUUGCGUGUAGACUCGCCUUAAAAUAAUUGGCAGCCGGCGUAUUGAUUUCGGAGCGCAGUACAUCUCGCGCUUUGCACUCAUAACGACAGCGUCCAAAAGUACAUUUUACACUCUUGACCUCGGAUCAGGUAGGGAUACCCGCUGAACUUAAGCAUAUCAAUAAGCGGAGGA
Molecule: unclassified non-coding RNA, 336 nt
Filed under: soil metagenome
Description: partial contains 5.8S ribosomal RNA, internal transcribed spacer 2, and large subunit ribosomal RNA
Rfam family: 5.8S ribosomal RNA (bases 1-120)
Source: RNAcentral